This 83-nucleotide small nuclear RNA is filed under the name Neogale vison (American mink). RNAcentral's name for it is "Neovison vison (American mink) U4 spliceosomal RNA (ENSNVIG00000009617.1)". It matches the Rfam family "U4 spliceosomal RNA", at positions 1 to 82 of the family's 138-position model. Rfam says of the family: U4 small nuclear RNA (U4 snRNA) is a component of the major U2-dependent spliceosome. The record is from Rfam by way of RNAcentral. Lineage: Eukaryota; Metazoa; Chordata; Mammalia; Carnivora; Mustelidae.
AGCUUUGCGCAGUGGCAGUAUCGUAGCCAAUGAGGUUUAUCCGAGGCGUGAUUAUUGCUAAUUGAAAAUAGUGGACCAAACAA